ACGAAGGGUGCAAGCGUUAUUCGGAGUAACUGGGCGUAAAGAGCGUGUAGGCGGUUUGUUAAGUCUGUUGUUAAAUUACUCGGCUCAACUGAGUGUUCGCGAUAGAAACUGGCAAGCUAGAGUGCAAGAGAGAGAAGUGGAAUUCUCGGAGUAGCGGUAAAAUGCGUAGAUAUCGAGAGGAACACCGAUAGCGAAGGCGGCUUCUUGGCUUGUAACUGACGCUGAAGCACGAAAGCGUGGGUAGCAAACAG
This 251-nucleotide ribosomal RNA is filed under the name uncultured prokaryote. RNAcentral describes it as "partial 16S ribosomal RNA". It matches the Rfam family "Bacterial small subunit ribosomal RNA", at positions 525 to 775 of the family's 1533-position model. The record is from RNAcentral.